GAUUAACGCUGGCGGCGUGCAUAACACAUUCAAGUCGAACGGUNACGGGACUUCGGUCCCUGAUCAGUGGCGGACGGGUGAGUAACGCGAGCCCAUCUUAGUGCGUCGGAGCUUUGGUAUCAGAACCAUGCGAUCCCAAUACCGCAUAAUGUAUUGGGAUCGCAUGGUUCUGAUACCAAAGCUCCGACGCACUAAGAUGGGCUCGCGUCUGAUUAGAUAGUUGGUGGGGUAACGGCCUACCAAGUCGACGAUCAGUAGCCGGACUGAGAGGUUGAACGGCCACAUUGGAACUGAGAUACGGUCCAGACUCCUACGGGAGGCAGCAGUGGGGAAUAUUGGGCAAUGGGCGAAAGCCUGACCCAGCGACGCCGCGUGAAGGAAGAAGGUCUUCGGAUUGUAAACUUUAGUCAACAGGGACGAAUAAAUGACGGUACCUGUGGAGGAAGCCACGGCUAACUACGUG
RNAcentral lists this ribosomal RNA (463 nucleotides) under uncultured bacterium. Its description in RNAcentral is "bacterial SSU rRNA". It matches the Rfam family "Bacterial small subunit ribosomal RNA", at positions 28 to 507 of the family's 1533-position model. The record is from RNAcentral.